This 504-nucleotide long non-coding RNA is filed under the name Triticum aestivum (bread wheat). Its description in RNAcentral is "long non-coding RNA (TAES_LNC019567)". The record is from RNAcentral. Lineage: Eukaryota; Viridiplantae; Streptophyta; Magnoliopsida; Poales; Poaceae.
CGGGUGGCGCGGCCCCGUCCCGGACUCCCACGGCCACCGCAUCCAGUUCCGGCUCUACGCGCUCGACGACGUGCUCAGCCUCGGCAACAAGGCGAGUGCACCUACAAACUUCAGUCGUAGAGACUCUGUUCUGAAUGAACUCUGGCGUGUGACAGACGAGUACUGAUUCGUGGUGCUGGAUUUUGCAGGUGACUGUGGACAAGGUCAUGGAGGCCAUCGAGGGGCACGUGCUGGGGGAGGCCGAGAUCACGGCCGUGUUCUAAGGAGUUCUUGUGGAUUUUGACACUCGGCUCUGUGUGUGUGUGUGACCUGCUUGUUACUUCUUGCGAAUUGUGUGUGGUCUGUUCUGUAGCGUGCCUGUAUACGCAUGGCCACGAGCAGCCUUUGUAAUUUUGAUCCAAUAAAUGAAGUGACUUCUUAUCAGCCGGGUACGGUUGCACGACAGAUCUUUGUGACUGCAAUCCAUUUUAAUCACUGUGGUCGAAGGAAUGGAAACUGGCAAAU